CAAACAUAUAUUUACAUGAACCAACAUAAAUAUCUAUGUAUGUAUAUCAUACAUAUUUUUACAUUGAACAUUUAAAUACAACUCAAAAUUAAUAAUUUUAAAAGAAAAUUUACAUAUUUAUUAUGAACACAGGCUACAUAGUACAUACUACAUGUUACAUAUGUAUAUAAAUACAUACACAAUCAACACGAUAUUAUUUGAUAUAUGAUUAACGCAAAUUUUGUAUCUUAUCAGACAAUAUUUAUGAAUGUAUGAGUGAAAUGAACAAUAGCUAAAUAUAUGUACAUAUAUGCACAUACACAUGUACAUACAUACAUAUGUAUGUUUGUACGGCAUAUGCAUGCAUCUGCAUUUAUUAUGAUUUUAGCUGUGUACAUUCAAGUGGAAAAUUUAUUUCUCGAAAUUAUUUAAAUAUACAUGUUUUUCAUUUAUAAAGAAAACAUAGAUAUCUUUUAUUUAAAAUACAAAAAUGAUUCAUCUUAAAAUUUUUAGUUAAAAAAUAUUGAUAACACAAAACAAUCUGACUUUCCAAAGUGUAUGCAUACGUAAAUACGUACAUAUGUACAUAUAAAUGUAUAUACGUAUGGUAUAUGUACAUAUGUUUAGGUUAGAGGAUAAUAACGAUCGUUUCGCUAAAAAGAGGUCGAUAUGUAUCUACUUUUCAGAUACGUAUGUAUCUAUGUACAUACAUACGUACGAUCGUACGAUCGACAUGAUGUCGAUCUUCAAAUCAAUUUCUAUCGGUAUUGUACAUAAAUCUGUUUGUAUAUAUGUACAUACAUGACCUUAAACACUUUCCUAAAACGUCAGAGAUAUUUAAUGAAUUUUUAAAUUUAUAAUAUAUAUUAGGUUACAUAUUUUAAAACGCAACUAAUUGGUUGGUCACUUCAUCACUUAGACACUUAUGUAUGUAUGUAAAUAUGUAGAGAUUUACAUUAUUUGACUAUAAAAUUUCUUCAUACAUCGUGUACAUGUCGUUUAUAUACAUAUGUAUAUACAUACAAUAGUUAAUGUAUUAAAGAAAACAAAACAUUUUGAAAUGUACAAACAUAUGUACAUUCAUACAUAUGUAUGUAUGUUUACAUAUUUUUUUUCUUCGAAAUUGAUCCUUAUAACCAUUGUUGCUAUUUUAGCUAUUUUAUUUCUAGGUUUAGCUCUUUGUGAAAUGCUAUUAGCUAGAAAUCUAGCUACUGCUGGCACUUUUUAAAUAGUACCGAAACAGCUCUUUUAAGAUGGUUCUUCUAUUUUGAGGUUCACUCAAGAAAAGUGAAAAAAAAACUCUGUUAUGAGAAAGUUUUCUUAUUUUGUAUAAUGUAAAAUAAAACACAAAAGUUUUGGCUGAAGUUUUUGAGUCCAGAGAUACCAGAGGAGUCAACACAUUCGCCCCCUUAGCACCUUUGCACUCAAUAUAAUGAGUCUACCUUGGUCGAACGCAGCUAGUUAAAACAAUGGUCGGCAGGGCCCUAUUCUAGGGGCAUAGGAAAUUUCAUUAAUAAUCGUCAUUAAUAGUAAUACUUUAGAACCAUAUCAUUGUAUUAAGUGCCGGCCACUGAUUUACAGAUAUGGACUCAACAGAAGGGGGACGUGUUGUUUUAAAUACACAUUGCCAACAAAAUAUUUAAAAAUUAUGUCUGAAUCAGAUAAACAUUAAGAUUCGGUCGAGGACACCAUCGAUAUUGAUAAUAUUUCUGUAUUAUUUUAAUAAAAACCAUUUAAAAA
Molecule: non-coding RNA, 1719 nt
Organism: Drosophila bipectinata
Lineage: Eukaryota; Metazoa; Arthropoda; Insecta; Diptera; Drosophilidae
Source: RefSeq, a predicted model, not a curated record